This 468-nucleotide ribosomal RNA is filed under the name uncultured bacterium. Its description in RNAcentral is "partial 16S ribosomal RNA". It matches the Rfam family "Bacterial small subunit ribosomal RNA", at positions 28 to 507 of the family's 1533-position model. The record is from RNAcentral.
GACGAACGCUGGCGGCGUGCUUAACACAUGCAAGUCGAACGGAAAGGCCCUUCUUUUUUGGGGUUCUCGGGUGGCGAACGGGUGAGUAAAACGUGAGUAACCUGCCCUUGACUUUUGGAUAACUUCAGGAAACUUGGGCUAAUACCGGAUAGGAGCUCCUGCUGCAUGGUGGGGGUUGGAAAGUUUCGGCGGUUGGGGAUGGACUCGCGGCUUAUCAGCUUGUUGGUGGGGUAGUGGCUUACCAAGGCUUUGACGGGUAGCCGGCCUGAGAGGGUGACCGGCCACAUUGGGACUGAGAUACGGCCCAGACUCCUACGGGAGGCAGCAGUGGGGAAUAUUGCACAAUGGGCGGAAGCCUGAUGCAGCAACGCCGCGUGCGGGAUGACGGCCUUCGGGUUGUAAACCGCUUUCGCCUGUGACGAAGCGUGAGUGACGGUAAUGGGUAAAGAAGCACCGGCUAACUACGUG